UACAGAGGUCUCAAGCGUUGUUCGGAUUCAUUGGGCGUAAAGGGUGCGUAGGCGGCGCGGUAAGUCGGGUGUGAAAUCUCGGAGCUUAACUCCGAAACUGCAUUCGAUACUGCCGUGCUUGAGGACUGGAGAGGAGACUGGAAUUUACGGUGUAGCGGUGAAAUGCGUAGAUAUCGUAAGGAAGACCAGUGGCGAAGGCGACUCUCUGGUCUGUAACUGACGCUGAGGCGCGAAAGCGUGGGGAGCAAACAGG
Molecule: ribosomal RNA, 253 nt
Filed under: uncultured bacterium
Lineage: Bacteria
Description: partial 16S ribosomal RNA
Rfam family: Bacterial small subunit ribosomal RNA
Source: RNAcentral